AUUGAACGCUGGCGGAAUGCUUUACACAUGCAAGUCGAACGGCAGCACGGGGCAACCUGGUGGCGAGUGGCGAACGGGUGAGUAAUACAUCGGAACGUGCCCAAUCGUGGGGGAUAACGUAGCGAAAGCUACGCUAAUACCGCAUACGAUCUACGGAUGAAAGCGGGGGAUCGCAAGACCUCGCGCGAAUGGAGCGGCCGAUGGCAGAUUAGGUAGUUGGUAGGGUAAUGGCCUACCAAGGCGACGAUCGGUAGCUGGUCUGAGAGGAUGAUCAGCCACACUGGGACUGAGACACGGCCCAGACUCCUACGGGAGGCAGCAGUGGGGAAUAUUGGACAAUGGGCGCAAGCCUGAUCCAGCAAUGCCGCGUGUGUGAAGAAGGCCUGCGGGUUGUAAAGCACUUUUGUUCGGGAAGAAAUCAUGCUGGUUAAUACCUGGUAUGGAUGACGGUACCGAAGAAUAAGCACCGGCUAACUUCGUGCCAGCAG
Molecule: ribosomal RNA, 488 nt
Filed under: uncultured bacterium
Lineage: Bacteria
Description: bacterial SSU rRNA
Rfam family: Bacterial small subunit ribosomal RNA
Source: RNAcentral